This 516-nucleotide ribosomal RNA is filed under the name uncultured bacterium. RNAcentral's name for it is "bacterial SSU rRNA". It matches the Rfam family "Bacterial small subunit ribosomal RNA", at positions 355 to 885 of the family's 1533-position model. The record is from RNAcentral.
UGGGGAAUCUUGGACAAUGGGGGCAACCCUGAUCCAGCCAUGCCGCGUGAGUGAUGAAGGCCUUAGGGUCGUAAAGCUCUUUCGCCUGUGAAGAUAAUGACGGUAGCAGGUAAAGAAACCCCGGCUAACUCCGUGCCAGCAGCCGCGGUAAUACGGAGGGGGUUAGCGUUGUUCGGAAUUACUGGGCGUAAAGCGCACGUAGGCGGACCAGAAAGUUGGGGGUGAAAUCCCGGGGGCUCAACCCCGGAACUGCCUCCAAAACUAUUGGUCUAGAGUUCGAGAGAGGUGAGUGGAAUUCCAAGUGUAGAGGUGAAAUUCGUAGAUAUUUGGAGGAACACCAGUGGCGAAGGCGGCUCACUGGCUCGAUACUGACGCUGAGGUGCGAAAAGUGUGGGGAGCAAAACAGGAUUAGAUACCCUGGUAGUCCACACUGUAAAACGAUGAAUGCCAGUCGUCGGGUAGCAUGCUAUUCGGUGACACACCUAACGGAUUAAGCAUUCCGCCUGGGGAGUACGG